RNAcentral lists this ribosomal RNA (452 nucleotides) under uncultured organism. Its description in RNAcentral is "partial 16S ribosomal RNA". It matches the Rfam family "Bacterial small subunit ribosomal RNA", at positions 333 to 801 of the family's 1533-position model. The record is from RNAcentral.
ACACUCCUACGGGAGGCAGCAGUGGGGAAUAUUGGACAAUGGGCGCAAGCCUGAUCCAGCCAUGCCGCGUGAGUGAUGAAGGCCCUAGGGUUGUAAAGCUCUUUCACCGGAGAAGAUAAUGACGGUAUCCGGAGAAGAAGCCCCGGCUAACUUCGUGCCAGCAGCCGCGGUAAUACGAAGGGGGCUAGCGUUGUUCGGAAUUACUGGGCGUAAAGCGCACGUAGGCGGAUCGAUCAGUCAGGGGUGAAAUCCCAGGGCUCAACCCUGGAACUGCCUUUGAUACUGUCGAUCUGGAGUAUGGAAGAGGUGAGUGGAAUUCCGAGUGUAGAGGUGAAAUUCGUAGAUAUUCGGAGGAACACCAGUGGCGAAGGCGGCUCACUGGUCCAUUACUGACGCUGAGGUGCGAAAGCGUGGGGAUCAAACAGGAUUAGAUACCCCUGUAGUCCCAUGAU